This 245-nucleotide ribosomal RNA is filed under the name uncultured Syntrophomonas sp. Its description in RNAcentral is "partial 16S ribosomal RNA". It matches the Rfam family "Bacterial small subunit ribosomal RNA", at positions 524 to 768 of the family's 1533-position model. The record is from RNAcentral. Lineage: Bacteria; Bacillati; Bacillota; Clostridia; Eubacteriales; Syntrophomonadaceae.
GACGUAGGGGGCGAGCGUUGUCCGGAAUUACUGGGCGUAAAGAGCACGUAGGCGGGAACUUAAGUCAGGUGUGAAAGACCGGGGCUCAACCUCGGGGUGGCACUUGAAACUGGGUUUCUUGAGGGCAGGAGAGGAAAGUAGAAUUCCUGGUGUAGCGGUGAAAUGCGUAGAAAUCAGGAGGAAUACCAGUGGCGAAGGCGACUUUCUGGACUGACCCUGACGCUGAGGUGCGAAAGCGUGGGUAG